AAAGAUGUUUAUCUAAAUAGUAAAAAUACCACUUUCCUAUACGAUAUAAAAAUACUUGUUUUGUCCCGACAAAAAAAGGUAUAUUGUUGUAGGUCUUUGAUUUGAUGAAAAAGGAAAGGUAUCUUGGGUUCAGAAAAUUAGGAGAGAUGGUGGUGACGUUGUCACACACAACCUUUUUCUCUUCUGCGACGAAACCAAACUUUCAGCUUCAGGAUGAACUUUUUGUUCACAAACCAAAUCUUCAAAACCGAUGUCUCCAAACAUAAUUCCAAAAAUAGUCACUUUGGUACUAUUUAGUCCGUACCAAAAUCCUUCCAAGAUAUUGUAGGUUUCUAGUCUUCCCGACUUGACACCAAUUAUUAAGUGUAUGCUUCAGAUUAAUGCACAAACAAAGCAUGGUUAAUGCCCUAACAAACACUAUUUCCCAACGUCCAGAGAGUGGUGCAACAACAUCAUCCAACCUUUUAGAUAUAUAAUUCUUCAAAUGUCUGAGUAACCAAAUUUCUUGAUUCCAUAUUGCCUCUCUUAUCCAUAUUGGUCACACGUAACAGACAUCAAAGGUCUUUCGUCUCCAUCCCUUACAGUGAUGUGUAUGUUGGAAAUACAAUUUGAUAAAAAGAUAAACAAUUUUGUGAUGAUGCAGCCUUCUUCGAGUCUCUCCCGGCCAUGGCGGGAUGCGAAACUGAAUUCUCAAAUAUUAGUUGUGAAUAUUGAACACCUCUAUGAAAUAUAUUAGGGCGGAGACAGUGCAUCAAACAAAACAGAAUAAAACCGAAGCAUAUAUUGAACAUCAAAAAGUACAACUCCUAGAGGGAGACACAUACAGUAACAGAGUUAGACUCCAUCACCGAAGGAAAUGACACACUUGAAUGAUAAAGCAACAAAAAUAGUAGAUCAUAAUUCGUGUGGAAUAAAUCAAUUAACAAAAAAAUAAAACAGAUGAAAAAAUUCCGGUGACCGUAGCCGCUGGAGACGUUUAUUCGAUGUAGAAAAAAA
This is a long non-coding RNA of Brassica rapa (field mustard), 996 nucleotides long. RefSeq lists it as uncharacterized. Lineage: Eukaryota; Viridiplantae; Streptophyta; Magnoliopsida; Brassicales; Brassicaceae. The record is from RefSeq and is a predicted model, not a curated record.